Molecule: ribosomal RNA, 700 nt
Filed under: uncultured bacterium
Lineage: Bacteria
Description: bacterial SSU rRNA
Rfam family: Bacterial small subunit ribosomal RNA
Source: RNAcentral
UCAGGCCUAACACAUGCAAGUCGAGCGAGAAAGGUGACUUCGGUUGCCGAGUACAGCGGCGGACGGGUGAGUAACACGUGGGUAACCUGCCCUGUAGUGGGGGACAACCACCCGAAAGGGUGGCUAAUACCGCAUAAGUCGCUCUUCUCUUCGGAGAGGAGCGGGAAAGCUAGCCUCUGUUUCAUGCUGGCGCUACAGGAGGGGCCCGCGUCGCAUCAGCUUGAUGGUGGGGUAACGGCCUGCCAUGGCUAAGACGCGUAGCUGGUCUGAGAGGAUGAUCAGCCACACUGGGACUGAGACACGGCCCAGACUCCUACGGGAGGCAGCAGUGGGGAAUAUUGGACAAUGGGGGAAACCCUGAUCCAGCCACGCCGCGUGAGUGAUGAAGGCCUUCGGGUCGUAAAGCUCUGUGGAGAAAGACGAAACCGCUAUAUUUAAUAGAUGUAGUGCUGACGGUACUUCUUUAGCAAGCACCGGCUAACUCCGUGCCAGCAGCCGCGGUAAUACGGAGGGUGCAAACGUUGCUCGGAAUCAUUGGGCGUAAAGCGCACGUAGGCGGUCCGAUAAGUCGGAUGUGAAAGCCCUCGGCUCAACCGAGGAAGUGCAUUCGAAACUGUCGGACUUGAGUACGGGAGAGGGUUGCGGAAUUCCCGGUGUAGAGGUGAAAUUCGUAGAUAUCGGGAGGAACACCAGAGGCGAA